AACACUGUUAACCUGCGGUACCUGCGGAGGGAUCAUUACAGAGUUGCAAAACUCCCUAAACCAUUGUGAACGUUACCUAAACCGUUGCUUCGGCGGGCGGCCCGGGUCCUUCCCGGCGCCCACCGGCCCUCGCGGGCGCCCGCCGGAGGUAAACCAAACUAUUGCAUUGUAUGGCCUCUCUGAGUCUUCUGUACUGAAUAAGUCAAAACUUUUAACAAUGGAUCUCAGAUCGGAAGAGCA
Molecule: unclassified non-coding RNA, 240 nt
Filed under: soil metagenome
Description: partial contains 5.8S ribosomal RNA, internal transcribed spacer 2, and large subunit ribosomal RNA
Source: RNAcentral